AUUUUGAUCAAUACGUCAUAUGACUUUUUGGCUAUCUUUCCCGCGCUAUGUGUAAAGAGAUUUCUUGCUGAAACAAUCUUUAUCAGAAGAAGCGUAACGUAUACAGUCGUUAUUGUAAGUAUUGUACAAAAUUUCUAAGAAUAGGAUUUACUACUUCCUACAUGUAUGUAUUGUAAUAUGAAGAUGUCUUCAGCUAAAAACGAAACGUUAUUGUUGAUAAAAUUAUAUACCCAUGGCCAUAUUAAAAGUUUCAUGAUGGGCAAUUAUAUUUAUAAUAAGA
Long non-coding RNA from Xenia sp. Carnegie-2017, 280 nucleotides. RefSeq lists it as uncharacterized. The transcript is spliced from 2 exons. Lineage: Eukaryota; Metazoa; Cnidaria; Anthozoa; Malacalcyonacea; Xeniidae. The record is from RefSeq and is a predicted model, not a curated record.